Panthera uncia (snow leopard) is the source of this 3800-nucleotide long non-coding RNA. RefSeq lists it as uncharacterized. The record is from RefSeq and is a predicted model, not a curated record. NCBI's taxonomy places the organism in Eukaryota, Metazoa, Chordata, Mammalia, Carnivora, Felidae. The transcript has 2 exons.
UUGGCCGGAAGUGGAGCUGUGAGGUCCGGGUGUUGCUGGUGGAGUGGCGGUGGCGCGGAAGCUCGCGGGAUCCAGGGUCUGGUGUUGCGGCGCCCGUGUUCACCAGGCUCAGGUGAGUGGCGGCGGCCGCGGAUGAGGACUCGGCGGCCGCUCCCUGUCCACCUGGGCCUUGGCCGCCUCUCCCGUCCUGGGCGGCGCAGGGCCGGGCGCUUCCGGGCCCGGGCUGCGGACUCCUCUCGCAGGCCCGUUUAGGCAGAAUGUCGGCGACCCCGCCACCCCAGAGUUCUGUGACCUUGGACAAUCGGUUCGUCUGAAUCUUGACUUUUCCUCUGUGAGACGGAGAUGAUCACUGCCUGCCUCACAGGGCUGUUGUGGGAAUCCAGUGAGGUGUUUUGCGGCACUUCGUUACCACACUUAACACGUGCACGCGACCCACUCAGGGAUCUGGAGAUGGGGUCUGUAGGUCUGGGGUAAGGUUCGAGAUUACGCAUUCCUGACCAGCUUCCAGGUGAGGCUGAUGCCGCUGGUCCGCAGGCCCCUACGGUAUUUUGCUUAGUACCCGGGUCAACUUGAGCCUUCAGUAGAUAUCAAUACAGUGUAUAUCCUGUCCCCGUUUUUAACAGACGGUUUCUAGUUGCACAUACCUAAGGUCGUUAUUGAUGUCUUCCUCCCUUUUCUCUCCAGAGGUAAGAAAAAUAAUUGCCCUUUCUCUUUCCGUACAAAUCAUGACACAGCUCUUCUGUCCUGACUCAGGGAGCUUUGGGCCCUCUUUAAACCAGUUAAACUUCCACUUCCUCAGGUCAUGCUUCAUUGCCUACUCACUGUAAACCCUUGGACAGUGAGUGCUUCUUCCUAUGGAGCUGGCAGCCAAGUGCUUUAGCACCAACGUGUCUGGUGUUCUGUGCUCUAGUCAUUUGUUGCAGCUGGAAUGUGAAUUCCUAUUUUCCGCACUUGGCUCACACUUGGUGAGUAGUAAGAAAGCUGCUUUUCCAGAACUAGAUUGUACAACUCACUGCUCUGAAUGGCCUCAGGCAAGCUCUGGCUUGAUUUCACUACUGCCUGGGAGACCAAAAUGAAAUAUGGAGACUCAGCGUUGCAUAAUGCAACAGAGAAGGUGAGGCCUUUGGGAGUUGUGCAGGUCUAGUUUAUUUGACGGUAUGGUUUUCUUCCCCAUCUGUUGCUUUAGCAAACCUUUAGCAGUUCCAUUCACAUGGGCUGAGAGGACCUGAGUGUCUGCUCUCUGUUGCUAUACCCAGAGAUUUUCUUUUCUUUUUUCUUUCUUUCUACCCAGAGAUUUUCUUUUUUCCUUCCUUCCUUCCUUCCUUCCUUCCUUCCUUCCUUCCUUCCCUCCCUCCCUCCCUCCCUCCCUCCCUCCCAGGGAGAGAGAGAGAAUCUCAAGCAGGCUCCAUGCCCAAUGCAGAGUCCAACACAUGGGGCUCAAUCUCACCACUGUGAGAUCAUGACCUGAGCUGACACCAGGAGUCAAACAUUUUACCAACUGAACCACCACCCAGGUGCCCCACGUACCCAGAGAUUUUCUAAAAACAGAGUGUGUGGAAUCCUUUAAGAGCAGCGGCUCUAACAGUCAUCUGUGGGGCCUUGUCAGACUGUAUCUACUCAGGCCCUUCUUGCCAUUCUGAUAGAGGAAUAGCAGAGUCUUAGAAGGGGAGGAAGGGCUAUAUAAACUAAAAAAAAAGUUUCACAGAUAAUUGUGGUGUGCUGUUUUCUCUGAUAAGAGUGGAAACCAGAAUGAAGUGAAGGAGAUGGGCUGUUAGAAUUGAAUUUGGUUUGGCUUAACUCUGGGUGAUACUUAUGUUGACCUAAACACCUUAGCACUGGUGUUUGACCUUUGUCGUGGCAGUAGUAGUAGAUCCCUGUCUUGUAGGCUCUGCUCCAGUGUGGAAACUGAAGCACAGAAGAGUCUAGCCCAGUUAGCAUUUGCAUUAACAGCUAAGGGUCCUUAGGUCAGUCACUAAGCCCUCACCAGGAGCAUUAAACUUGGUAGACUCUUAACACCUAGAGGAAGUUAGUUUUCUGUUUUUUUUUUUAAUUCUCAGGGUUGCUCAACAAAUUAUUUGCUAAGACAAGAUUAGAGUUUGAAGUAUUCAUUUAUUUGUGGCAAUUUUACCAGGACAUAGGAGGGUUAAACCUUUCUAGCAAAAGGACGGAAAUCAGAAUUAAGAGAGGAGAUCUAGUAACUGGUGAAUUAAAUAUGCUGAGAGUGUUAUAUACUUAAUCUACAGUUAGCAUGGCUGUCUUCCACCGUCUGGCUCCCUUUCUGUAACUUCUGGACUAUAGUUUAAAAUGAAGCUAUUUGGCCUUGCUCAGACCUCUGUACCUGGAAGGUGGAAAGCACUCAAGACCAGACUUCCAAAGUGAUUAUAUUUCAGGCAUAUAUUUGUAGAUAUGGUGUCUAUACAGUUACACUAAAACUUGCAAGGUGAAAAAGUAAGUAGCUACUGUUUGCCAUUUGCAGUUGGCUCUUCAUGUCUCUACGAUCCUUUAUUUUGUCAUCAUUUCUGUUACUGGGCAUUCAUAAAGAAAUUCGAGGGGCGCCUGGGUGGCUCAGUCAGUUAAGCUACGGACUCUUGAUUUCAGCUCAGGUCAUGAUCUCACGGUUCGUGGGUUCGAGCCCUGCAUCAGGUUGUGCGCUGACCGUAUGGAGCCUACUUGGAAUUCUCUCUCUUUCUGACCCUCCCGGCUCGCUUGCUCUCUCUCAAAAUAAACAAACGCUUAAAAAGAAAACAGUAGUUCUAUAGACAGUAGGAAUUACUUGGGCUAGAAAAACUUUUCAAUGUUUUCCUUGAAACUUCACAUUACUUUCUUUGAAUACUGAUUGUCUUCUUGAAGAAUACCUUAAUUUCCUGUUAGUACAUGCAUUUUGCAGAUUUAAUUUUUGUCAAAGUUGUACAUGAUUUACACAGUCACAUAGUUUGAUGGACUUAUAACACUAAAUAUUCCCUUUCUCCAUUUUUUUUUUUAUGGUGAUCUGUGAUCAGUGAUUAUGUCGUGCUGAAAGCUCAGAUGAUGCUUAGCAAUUUUUAGCAAUAAAGUAUUUUAUAAUUAAGAUAGGUGUGUUUUUUAGAUAUAAUGCUAUUGCACACUUGACAGACUGCAGUAUGGUGUAAACAUAACUUCUCUGUGCACUGGAAAACCAGAAAAUUCCUUUGACUCACUUUACUGUGACACUCACUUUAUUUCAGUAGUCUAGAACUGAAUAGCACUAUCUCAAGGUAACACCUGUAUUAGAGGUGAGAGGGGCUUUUGAGUUCACCCAGUUCAAACGCACCAGCUCCCUGGCAUCUGGAAACCCUGUAGAUGGGUCAGGAUCCUCCCCACUUCUUUGUCUGGAAUUUGACUCUUCUUGGCUAGAGUACACACCAGCAAUGUGGGUUUGGAAUCAGACGAUCUUUGAUGUCAAACCCCACUCCAUCCCUUAGCUGUGUAACCGUCAGCAGGUUCCUUAACCUUGUGAAGUCUCCUUUUCCUCAUCUACAACAUGGAGACCACAAAACCUACGUUACAGAGAGGUUGUAAGGAUUGGAACUAUAUGCAGGUAAAAACCUCAUAGUAGGCUCGGCACAGAGGAGGCCCUAAGAUAAUUGUGGCUGUUGUUUUUUCCAUCUUGGGACUUAACCUGUAUUUUAGCAUUUCAAAAAGAACCACAUUAAUUCAAAAUGCAGACUCUCUAUCACCGAAACAGAAACAUUAAUGUUCAAGGAAAUGGUUCUUUUUUCAUUUGAGGAGCAUGCACAGUAAUUUUAUUCAUUAAAUACACUUAGGUAGUAUUAAUUGAAGUA